UUCCGUAGGUGAACCUGCGGAAGGAUCAUUAAACAUAUUACGGGGGGCCGGACCCAAGGUGCGUGGAUUUCCAUGUGCUUUGACCCGCCCUGUCUGAAUAUUCUACCCAUGUCUUUUGCGUACUAUUCGUUUCCUCGGUGGGCUUGCCUGCCGAUAGGACACUAUAAAACCUUUUGUAAUUGCAGUCAGCGUCAGAAAAUAAUUUAAUAAUUAAAACUUUCAACAACGGAUCUCUUGGUUCUGGCAUCGAUGAAGAACGCAGCGAAAUGCGAUAAGUAGUGUGAAUUGCAGAAUUCAGUGAAUCAUCGAAUCUUUGAACGCACAUUGCGCCCCUUGGUAUUCCAUGGGGCAUGCCUGUUCGAGCGUCAUUUGUACCCUCAAGCUUUGCUUGGUGUUGGGCGUUUGUCCCGCGUUGCGCGUGGACUCGCCUUAAAGCGAUUGGCAGCCGGCAUAUUGGCCUUGGAGCGCAGCACAUUUUGCGCUUCUAGUCAUGAAUGUUGGCAUCCAUUAAGCCUAUACAUUUGCUCUUGACCUCGGAUCAGGUAGGGAUACCCGCUGAAC
Molecule: ribosomal RNA, 561 nt
Filed under: Querciphoma carteri
Lineage: Eukaryota; Fungi; Ascomycota; Dothideomycetes; Pleosporales; Leptosphaeriaceae
Description: eukaryotic LSU rRNA
Rfam family: 5.8S ribosomal RNA (bases 215-368)
Source: RNAcentral